RNAcentral lists this ribosomal RNA (484 nucleotides) under uncultured bacterium. RNAcentral describes it as "SSU rRNA". It matches the Rfam family "Bacterial small subunit ribosomal RNA", at positions 26 to 518 of the family's 1533-position model. The record is from RNAcentral.
AGGACGAACGCUAGCGGCGUGUUUGAAACAUGCAAGUCGAACGGUAGAGGUAGCAAUACUUCGAGAGUGGCGAACGGGUGCGUAACACGUAAAGAACCUAUCCUUUAGCGGGGGAUAGCCCUUAGAAAUGAGGGGUAAUACCGCAUAAGGUAUCCUUGACGCAUGUUAGGGAUAGGAAAGGGUUACGAAAGUAACUCACUAAAGGAGGGCUUUGCGGCCUAUCAGGUAGUUGGUGGGGUAAAGGCCUACCAAGCCAAAGACGGGUAGCUGGUCUGAGAGGAUGGUCAGCCACACUGGGACUGAGAUACGGCCCAGACUCCUACGGGGGGCAGCAGUUUAGAAUAUUGUGCAAUGGGCGAAAGCCUGACACAGCGACGCCGCGUGGGUGAUGAAGGCCUUCGGGUCGUAAAGCCCUGUUGGUAGGGAUGAGUAAGGACAGUACCGUACCGAGGAACGCCCCGGCUAACUACGUGCCAGCAGCCGC